GGGCGAAUGGCUCAGCGGGAGAGCACUUGCUUUACACGCAAGGGGUCGCAGGUUCAAAUCCUGCUUCGCCCA
This 72-nucleotide transfer RNA is filed under the name bacterium. RNAcentral describes it as "tRNA-Val". It matches the Rfam family "tRNA". From Rfam's summary of the family: Transfer RNA (tRNA) molecules are approximately 80 nucleotides in length. Their secondary structure includes four short double-helical elements and three loops (D, anti-codon, and T loops). Further hydrogen bonds mediate the characteristic L-shaped molecular structure. tRNAs have two regions of fundamental functional importance: the anti-codon, which is responsible for specific mRNA codon recognition, and the 3' end, to which the tRNAs corresponding amino acid is attached (by aminoacyl-tRNA synthetases). tRNAs cope with the degeneracy of the genetic code in two manners: having more than one tRNA (with a specific anti-codon) for a particular amino acid; and 'wobble' base-pairing, i.e. permitting non-standard base-pairing at the 3rd anti-codon position. The record is from RNAcentral. RNAcentral also lists the same sequence under 1 other name.